Molecule: ribosomal RNA, 467 nt
Filed under: uncultured bacterium
Lineage: Bacteria
Description: partial 16S ribosomal RNA
Rfam family: Bacterial small subunit ribosomal RNA
Source: RNAcentral
GAUGAACGCUGACAGAAUGCUUAACACAUGCAAGUCAACUUGAAUUUGGGUUUUUACCUUAGGUUUGGGUGGCGGACGGGUGAGUAACGCGUAAAGAACUUGCCUCACAGCUAGGGACAACAUUUGGAAACGAAUGCUAAUACCUAAUAUUAUGAUAAUAGGGCAUCCUAUAAUUAUGAAAGCUAUAAGCGCUGUGAGAGAGCUUUGCGUCCCAUUAGCUAGUUGGAGAGGUAACGGCUCACCAAGGCGAUGAUGGGUAGCCGGCCUGAGAGGGUGAUCGGCCACAAGGGGACUGAGACACGGUCCUUACUCCUACGGGAGGCAGCAGUGGGGAAUAUUGGACAAUGGACCGAGAGUCUGAUCCAGCAAUUCUGUGUGCACGAUGAAGUUUUUCGGAAUGUAAAGUGCUUUCAGUUGGGAAGAAACAAAUGACGGUACCAACAGAAGAAGUGACGGCUAAAUACGUG